AGGGCCUCCUCAUCUGGAUGCUUCCCUAGACCAAGAAGUGGCCCAGGUGGUGCCCAGGGGACAGGGAGUGGGCAAUAAAAGACAAUGGGGUGUAGGUGAUAGGGUGUAGAUGAUCAGGGUAUAGGUGAUCAGGAUGUAGGUGAUGGGGUGUAGAUGACUGGGGUAUAGAUGAUUGAAGUGUAGGUGAUGGGGUAUAGAUGAUCGAGGUGUAGGUGAUGGGGUGUAGGUGAUGGGGUAUAGAUGAUUGAGGUGUAGGUGAUGGGGUGUAGGUGAUGGGGGUCAAGGUGAUCAAGGUGUUGGUGAUGGGGUGUUGGUGAUCGGGGUGUAAGUGAUGAGGUAUAGGUGGUGGGGUGUAGAUGAUUGGGGUGUAGGUGAUGGGGUGUAGAUGAUUGAGGUGUAGGUGAUGGGGUAUAGGUGAUUGGGGUGUAGGCAAUGGGGUGUAGGUGAUUGGGGUGUAGGCAAUGGGGUGUAGGUGAUUGGGGUCAAGGAGAUAGAGGUGUAGGUGAUGGGGUGUUGGUGAUUGGGGUGUAGGUGAUCAGGGUGUAGGUGAUUGGGGUGUAGGUGAUCGGGGUGUAGGUGACCAGGGUAUAGGUGAUCAGGGUGUAGGUGAUGGGAUGUAGGUGAUCAGGGUCAAGGUGAUUGAGGUGUAGGUGAUGGGAUGUUGGCAACCAGGGUGUAGGUGAUCAGGAUGUAGGUGAUGGGGUGUAGACGAUCAGGGUGUAGGUGAUGGGCUGUUGCUGACCAGGGUGUAGGUGAUCAGGGUGUAGGUGAUCCGAACUUCCUACUCAAUUCAGGCAACAGCUCCCAGCCUGAGGCAAAUACCCCCCGAGGCAGUCAGGGUCUCACCUCCCAUGGCUCUGACGCAGGCCUCCAAGGUGAGGAGAUGGAGGUAGCAGAGGUCACUUCACUCAGCUGUCACACACCCUGAGGGAACUCCUGUCACUGUUAUCCCACCUGCAAGUGAGGAGCCAGCAUUUCUCAUGCUCCAGGGUUGGCCACAGAGCCCAUUCAAGGGAGGGAGAAGAGCCUUCGGCCAGCGCAUCCUAACCGCAGAAAGCCAAGACCUCUGCAGAAAAAGAGACCAGGCCCAUAAAAAGAGAUCCAUGAGUUGAGUUCCCUGCCAUGCCACCCCCAGGCAUCUCUGCCCACCAGCCUGCAUGAGCCAGCCCCUCAGUGCAGGUUUUUCCAAUUGGCCGUUUGUUCUUCCACCCAACACUCAAGAUUUGCUUCUCAGCCUGGACAACAUAGCAAAACCCCAUCUCUACAAAAAAUACAAAAAUUAGCUGGGCAUAGUGGCACACACCUAUAGUCCCAGCUACUCGGGAGGCUGAAGUGGGAAGAUUACCUGAGCCUGGGAGGUCAAGGUUGCAGUGAGCCAUGAUCAUGCCACUGUACUCCAGCCUGGGUGACAGAGUGAGAACUUGUCUCAAAAACAAAAAAAGAGAGGAAGAUCUGCUUCUUCAAACCCACACAACUAAUAUAAAGUAAUCAACCUCCCCACCUCAAUAACCUGAAGUUAAACAUCACACAAUAAGCCCUGAACAGAGAGCUGUAGGUCAAUGUUCCAUUUUGCUUUUAAAAGCUUCACAAGAACAUUUCAUUUAUUAAAAUAGUUUCUGUAAACUCUUUCAGAAUAACAAAAUUCACUUGCCUUGCUUAAACAGCAUUUCAAGUAGAAGUAUUUUUAUUUCAAGGCACCAUAAAAUGAUGAUCUCUCUAAGAAAUACCUCUCCUUC
This 1736-nucleotide long non-coding RNA is filed under the name Homo sapiens (human). Its description in RNAcentral is "HSALNT0264938". The record is from RNAcentral. Lineage: Eukaryota; Metazoa; Chordata; Mammalia; Primates; Hominidae.